AAACAGUUUUGCCAGAGAAAGUUGAUAAUCCAUCUGAUUCUAAUGACAACAUAGGGGUUAAAACGUAAAAUUAAAAACAAUAGGGAAACAUUAUAGAAUAUAGAUAAACUUCAGGGAUCAAAAUGAAAGAAUACAAGACAGAGAAAUCUACCGUCUCUUCUUCAAACCAAACCCAGAACCUCCGUCCGACCAAUUCCGGUGCAGCUAAGAACCAGAGAUAGAGAGAUAGAGAUGCGGAGGAUCAAUUCACUGUACGGAAGAAUUGGUCUCCUAAAACGAGUACCCGAGAAAUCUACGAAGCAAGCUCAUACAUUUCUCGCAUCUCUCUCCUUCUCUACGGAAGGUGCUUAUGGCGGUGACGGUGAGUUUCAGCAGAACAGCUCCAAAGUCAAGAUCUUUGACCGAGACCUCAAGCGAAUACAUCGUGAUCGAGCGGCGUGGCUUUCUCGCCAAAAAAACGAUUCUUUUGUUGACGCUGUUGCAGAUAAUCUACUUGAUCGCUUAGAGGAUUGUAAGAAGAGUUUUCCCACUGCAUUUUGUUUGGGAGGAUCUCUUGGUGCUGUUAAGAGAUUACUACGUGGUCGCGGUGGGAUUGAGAAGCUUAUCAUGAUGGAUACUUCAUAUGACAUGAUUAAGUCAUGUAGAGAUGCUCAAGACGAUUCACUCGAUAACUCCAUUGAAACCUCUUACUUUGUUGGUGAUGAAGAGUUUCUGCCAGUCAAAGAGAGUUCGGUUGAUUUGAUCAUUAGUUCGUUGGGGCUUCACUGGACAAAUGAUCUUCCUGGAUCCAUGAUACAGUGCAAGCUAGCACUGAAGCCGGAUGGCUUAUUUUUAGCAGCAAUUCUUGGUGGAGAAACCUUAAAGGAGCUGAGAAUAGCAUGCACUUUGGCUCACAUGGAGCGGGAAGGAGGGAUUAGUCCUCGGCUAUCACCUUUGGCACAGGUUAGGGACGCAGGGAAUCUGUUGACCAGGGCGGGUUUUAGUCUUCCUGGUGUUGAUGUUGAUGAAUAUGUAGUUAAAUACAAGAGAGCGAUGGAUCUUAUAGAGCAUCUUCGUGCGAUGGGUGAAACCAAUGCUCUUCUCGAGAGAAACAAGAUUUUGAAUCGUGAAACUGCUGUUGCCACGGCAGCCAUAUAUGACUCCAUGUUUGCCACAGAGGACGGCACUAUACCCGCUACUUUUCAGGUGAUUUACAUGACAGGAUGGAGAGAACAUUCGUCUCACCCGCAGGCCAAACGAAGAGGUUCAGCCACCGUAUCCUUCACGGAUCUCCAAAAGCAAUUUGGCGGACAAUCUUGAUGGAAUGAUUGAAGAAGAGAAACAUUCAAUAAGCAGAGACUUUACAAAUGACACUUGAGAGAGAAAUCAGUGACUUAAGCUAUAAGGUACUUGGAGGAACUCUUGUAGAUUUGUCGGAGUCUUUCACUGGGCGAAAGCAUCACAAUUAGGACGCCUGCUUUCGCCCAUGUAUUUCGUAUCGAAUAAUAGCUGAUCAGAAACAUAUUUGUAUUUUACAAAAAUAUUACGAAUACUUAAAAAUCUCAAUCUUCAAUCAC
Molecule: long non-coding RNA, 1556 nt
Filed under: Arabidopsis thaliana (thale cress)
Lineage: Eukaryota; Viridiplantae; Streptophyta; Magnoliopsida; Brassicales; Brassicaceae
Description: [] (AT1G22800)
Source: RNAcentral